GACGAACGCUGGCGGCGUGCUUAACACAUGCAAGUCGAACGGAAAGGCCCUGCUUUUGUGGGGUGCUCGAGUGGCGAACGGGUGAGUAACACGUGAGUAACCUGCCCUUGACUUUGGGAUAACUUUAGGAAACUGGGGCUCAUACCGGAUAGGAGCUCCUGCUGCAUGGUGGGGGUUGGAAAGUUUCGGCGGUUGGGGAUGGUCUCGCGGCUUAUCAGCUUGUUGGUGGGGUAGUGGCUUACCAAGGCUUUGACGGGUAGCCGGCCUGAGAGGGUGACCGGCCACAUUGGGACUGAGAUACGGCCCAGACUCCUACGGGAGGCAGCAGUGGGGAAUAUUGCACAAUGGGCGGAAGCCUGAUGCAGCAACGCCGCGUGCGGGAUGACGGCCUUCGGGUUGUAAACCGCUUUCGCCUGUGACGAAGCGUGAGUGACGGUAAUGGGUAAAGAAGCACCGGCUAACUACGUG
This 468-nucleotide ribosomal RNA is filed under the name uncultured bacterium. RNAcentral describes it as "partial 16S ribosomal RNA". It matches the Rfam family "Bacterial small subunit ribosomal RNA", at positions 28 to 507 of the family's 1533-position model. The record is from RNAcentral.